UAUAACGUACGUAUGUUUGAAAUGUGA
RNAcentral lists this non-coding RNA (27 nucleotides) under Mus musculus (house mouse). The record is from RNAcentral. Lineage: Eukaryota; Metazoa; Chordata; Mammalia; Rodentia; Muridae.